RNA transcript from Ctenopharyngodon idella (grass carp), 3566 nucleotides. It is a transcript of the gene named signal transducing adaptor family member 2b, with no coding region annotated. NCBI's taxonomy places the organism in Eukaryota, Metazoa, Chordata, Actinopteri, Cypriniformes, Xenocyprididae. The record is from RefSeq and is a predicted model, not a curated record. The transcript is spliced from 14 exons.
UUUACCAUUUUUGUGUUUAUAUCAGUUUAGAUACAGUUUCUAAUGGCCUUGGACUACGGUCAAAUGAGCAGUCGACUGGGACCCAGCAGUGGACAGAUGGUUUGUUUUGGGCAAUAUGCGCGUAUAUUAUAGGAUUUACGGUAAUGAAUGGGACAUAGUGUCACCGUUAAAUGUUCUCACCGUUAGAUGUCGCCAAAGAACGCCGUAUUAUUCCAACGCACAUAAACUUGAAAUUUUUUUGAAAAUUACCAACACAAACACAAAAUCACAAUGUCAUUAACCGAAUCCUGAGGGGAAAAAAUGUUAUCUUAAAUCUAACCUCAAACUGCCUCUGAUACACUAAGCACACACUGCACACUGGUAUAAGAUUAAUUUUAAAUAUUAUAAUCAUAACCACUUACUGAUAUGAAUCGGGUUUUUCAGAGAAACCUCUUUGCAACUUAAUGAUGCAUAUUAUGCACACAUUACAAUGUAGUGACGUAACCUACUUUUGCACAAUGCCUUUUUGGAAACUUUAGCUAUAAGGAAAACUUUUUUGCUUAGCAUUUGAAAUGUCAUGAAUGUUUCAUUCUUCAAUGUAAUAAAGGAUAUGGGAAAAGCUUGGGAUAAGCCCAGAUUGCUGGUUUAACUUAGAAGAACUCUGUGACGACCCCUUGAGUUUCUGUAACAGUUAAAAUCGUCCAUUUACCGGUUUUAUUUUGUAUUAUUUGUGUAACGGGGUUGAGGGGUUACUGAGGUACGGAACUAAAUGAUGUGAUUUUAAUGAAUAAUCAUGAAUUUACUCAGAAAAAAACAUUACCAGCAAAAAAGUACAGAUGGAUAUUUAUGGGAAUGGCAAAAUGAAUGGACUUUUUUCUCAUUUUAUUACUCAUAUCCCAAGUAGACGUUCAUAGAAGGCAUUGAGGGACAUGACAAAAUAGGUGGUGUUAACUGAAAAAAACAUGUAUGUCAUGUUUUUAAACAUUAUUAAAGGAGACAUUUCAAUUAAUACAAAAAGCUUUUAAAAAUAUAUUUUGGUGACCCAAUAGAUAAAAUACACUGAAAAAGGUUAGAGGGACUCAAAUCGAACCGGUUUUGUGGAAAAGCUUGGGAUAAGCCCAGAUUGCUGGUUUAACUUAGAAGAACUCUGUGACGACCCCUUGAGUUUCUGUAACAGUUAAAAUCGUCCAUUUACCGGUAGGAUUUUGGAAAUCGGUGCUAUUUCGUCACGGGUAUUUCCUCGUAUGAUUUCGUUUACGUGCCUGCGGGGGUUUUUUGUCUGCAGCUAUUCUUACAUUUCUUCUCAGUGGGCGGGACUUUCAUGCCUUCCGGCAACCCUCGAGUGCACCUGACUCACCUGUGUACAGGUAAGGGGGUGGGGGAUAAGGGUGACAGCACCUAUAACUCUUCAAAAAGUCAUUUGUUACUUCCAGUCCACAAGGUUUCUGUUCGUCACUAACGUUUUGUAAAGCAUUAGCACCUUAAUUUUAAUAUGUAUUUGAGCAUCAAAUAACGCCUUAAAACGUGCAGGUGGACAGUGAAGGGUUUUCUUUCAAACACUUGAAUUGUUUUAUGAGAAGUUUGCAGUUGGCGGGAAAGUAACUUCUGUGAUUAUGGCAAACGCAAAUCGCCAUAGACGAGUGAGAUCUCAGCUGCCAUCAUGUUAUCACGAAGGCUUUCUGGAAAAGAAAUCCAUCAGAGACAAGAUGGGUCGUAAACUCUGGACCAGUUUAUGUGGAAAUUCACUCUUUUUCUUCAAUAACACUAAAGACAGUGUUUAUGUAGAGAAGCUGGAGCUCACUGAUCUUAUCACAGUGUCCGAUGACUGCUGUCGUGACCGAAACCUGAAUGCUGGUGGAUUUACUCUACACAUGAAAAAUGAAGACAUCAAGAUGAUUGCACCCAGCCUUGAGGCCAGAGAACUGUGGAAAGGCUUCUUGCUCUCAAUUUCCAAGCUAUCUGUGCCAACUUUUCUGAACCUGCUGCCUGGCCAGAUUCACAUGAUGAAGGAAAUAAUUGAGAAAGAGAAAAAGAGGCAGCGGCUUCUUUCAGUUCCACCACCAUCUCAGGGUUCUGACAAUUAUGUUAUUGUUGUGCCAGAAAUGCCUAUGUGUUAUUAUCCUGUCAAUCGCAUCGAAGCGGAAAUCUUACUGGAAAGGAACGCUGAUCAGGGAAACCUACUGCUGCGGCGGCGUCAAGAUGGGUCUUUUGCUCUCACCACUCACCAAGAUAUUAACGGACCAGUAUUCAAACAUUACUGUGUGUCUCGGAGGCCCGAAGGAGGAUUCGUUAUUGCCCUUGAGACUCCUAUCACCUGUGACACCCUGCAUGAUGUCGUUAACUACGUGGUGGAGAAGAGCAGUGGGGUUUUGGUGCCUCUUCUGAUGGAGCAACACUAUGAGAAAAAUAUCACAAUUAUUAAGCCAAAUGAAGAAAAUGGUGAGAUAAGUGAACAUUGUCUCAGAAAUGUCCCUUCACCUACUCCUCCGAUGCCACCCCCCAAACCAGUCACAAGGAAUGUCAGGUCCAGUCCAGAACCAAACGUACCUGAAAAUGAAUACCUCAGUGUCUCAGAUACUGGAGAGUAUGAGGUGGAUCAGGCCACAUGUAACAAACCUCCUGUCCUACCACGUCUUUCAGCCUUGGUGAGCAUAAGAGAGAGACUUCCAGAUAUCAUUCUGAUGAUGGUCUUUCGUUUUAGCAGGACGGUAUUUGCCGCAUCAGAUUUCAAUGCCUGGAGAUCUAAACACCAGUUCAGAUGGUGUAAGAAAACCUUUGGUACCUCCUGGCUACAGUAAAACACCUUCCCGAAGCAACAGUAUGUCUGGCUUGCAUGAGAAUUUUUCUACUCGUGAGCAGCGUGUUGACAUAAAUGAGCUCCAGAAUGCUAUUAGGAGACGAGCUAUCCCAGAAUGAUUGUAAUCUCAGUAAGAUGAUGGUAAUAAUAAUGGUUUCAUUGUUGAACGAGGAAUAAUUCCUUAGUAUUAAGCCAGCAGAUGCAUGAAUAUACAGCUUUACUCACCUGAACGCUGUAUCUGUGAGAUUUGUCCACUGCUGUCCAGUUGGCUGGAUCAACAAAUAGGCCCUUGAAUCAAGUUUUCUUUAUUGAUCCUUUCAGCAUUAUGAUAUAUUAGUUAUUUACAAUCAUUUAUUACACCAUCAUAUCGUUCAUUAUGUGCCUCAUUGUGACCUUUGUAGCUGCUGACUGUAAAUCACUACUGCUGUGUAGUCAAACUCAAAUUGCAAGUUUAUUUCACUGAUGUACUGUUGAUUUAUCACAAUUUCAGAGAUUAUUCCUGUGAAAAGUCAUACAAAUGUUUUGUCUUGAAUUCCUAUGUAUUGGAUAGCUGGUCUAUGUCUCUUUUCUCUGCCUCUGAUAUUAAAAAAAUAUCAGGCUUGCUACAAAGAAAAGGUUUGUUGUUGAUAUGAUGAUUUAUACUGACUUUACUAUGUGGGGAAGUUGCAGGUCUUCUUUCUCCAGAUAGAGAAACAGAUCAAACGAAUGUUGUUUUUCUGUUCCUGUUAAAACAUGACAUGUUUUAUUCUAUGUAUUUUAAGAACAAUACAAUGAUCACGGAAAAAAUGUA